GCACAGGUUCCCCCUGCCCAUGGGGGGAUUCAAUGUGAAGUCGGGUGCAAUUCCCGCGCAAUCCCGUUGCUGUGUAGGUGGAGCGCGCCCCUUGGGGGCCACUGGUUUUCAAAACUGGGAAGGCUGGGGCGUGCUGUGAAACCAAGCCAGAAAACAGCCUU
Molecule: non-coding RNA, 161 nt
Filed under: Candidatus Pseudobutyricicoccus lothianensis
Lineage: Bacteria; Bacillati; Bacillota; Clostridia
Also listed under: 1 other name
Source: RNAcentral